RNAcentral lists this ribosomal RNA (1093 nucleotides) under uncultured Nitrososphaerota archaeon. RNAcentral's name for it is "bacterial SSU rRNA". It matches the Rfam family "Archaeal small subunit ribosomal RNA", at positions 1 to 1064 of the family's 1478-position model. The record is from RNAcentral. Lineage: Archaea; Thermoproteati; Nitrososphaerota.
UCGCCCUUUUCCGGUUGAUCCUGCCGGACCCGACUGCUAUCGGAUUGAGAUUUAGCCAUGCGAGUCGAACGUCCUCCUGUUGCGGGGGGCGUGGCGUACGGCUCAGUAACACGUAGUCAACCUGCCCUGGAGACGUGGACAACCCCGGGAAACUGGGAUUAAUCCACGAUAGGUCAUCUUAUCUGGAAGGAGAGAUGGCUGAAAGGGGCGCGCGGGCUUCUUCUGCGCGUUCGCUCCAGGAUGGGACUGCGUCCGAUCAGGCUGUUGGCGGGGUAAUGGCCCACCAAACCUGUAACCGGUACGGGCUUUGAGAGAAGGAGCCCGGAGAUGGACACUGAGAUAAGGGUCCAGGUCCUACGGGGCGCAGCAGGCGCGAAACCUUCGCAAUGUGCGAAAGCAUGACGAGGUUAGUCCGAGUGGUAUCCGCUGAGGAGACCUUUUGUCGGCUCUAAAAAGGCCGGCGAAUAAGGGGAGGGCAAGCCUGGUGUCAGCCGCCGCGGUAAUACCAGCUCCUCGAGUGGUCGGGGCGAUUAUUGGGCCUAAAGCAUCCGUAGCCUGUUCCGUAGGUCUUCUGUUAAAUCCAACCGCUUAACGGUUGGCCUGCAGGAGAUACCGCGGGACUAGGAGGCGGGAGAGGCGGACGGUACUUCACGUGUAGGGGUAAAAUCCUUUAAUCCGUGGAAGACCACCAGUGGCGAAGGCGGUCCGCCAGAACGCGCUCGACGGUGAGGGAUGAAAGCUGGUGGAGCGAACCGGAUUAGAUACCCGGGUAGUCCCAGCCGUAAACGAUGCGAGCUAGAUGAUCCAAUCGCAAAUAGCGCUUGGAGUGUCGCAGGGAAGCCGUUAAGCUCGCCGCCUGGGGAGUACGGUCGCAAGACUGAAACUUAAAGGAAUUGGCGGGGGAGCACCACAAGGGGUGAAGCCUGCGGUUCAAUUGGAGUCAACGCCAGGAAACUUACCAGGAGAGACAGCAGGUUGAGGGUCAAGCUGAAGACUUUACCUGACGAGCUGAGAGGAGGUGCAUGGCCGUCGCCAGCUCGUGCCGUGAGGCGUCCUGUUAAGUCAGGCAACGAGCGAGACCCAAAGGGCGAAU